RNAcentral lists this long non-coding RNA (2465 nucleotides) under Citrus x clementina. Its description in RNAcentral is "Citrus clementina (C. clementina) long non-coding RNA (CCLE_LNC004485)". Lineage: Eukaryota; Viridiplantae; Streptophyta; Magnoliopsida; Sapindales; Rutaceae. The record is from RNAcentral.
CCCCCCCGGCGUAAUUUAACUGAGAAAAUUAAGGUUGUUUUGAUUCAGAUGUAAACAUAAGAUAAGUUUUUAAUACUAGGUGUUCUAUCACGAAUUUGAUACACUUGAUAUUACAAUAGUAGAUUGCUAAUUUGCAAUAAAAGGCAAGCUUUCGACUCUUGAGACCUAUAAUGUUUUGUAACUACUAUUGCCUUGUUUAUGUAUAAUGUAUGUGUAGGGUUCAGGGUUGCUUUUGAUGGUGUUUUUAUGCUCAUUGUAACUAGUGCCGCUGUAAGGUUUCUAUGUGUAAUUUCAAUUUCAGCUUUUCUUCCUUUUAAUUUUGCGGUAUUAGUUUACUGUACUGUUUUUGAAACUCUCUCUUUCAUAGUUAACAAUCACACACUAGAGUUCCAUAUCUAGGAUCUUUUUCACAAAUCACAAUCAGAAACAAGACUUGUUCAAUUUCCGUAGAUUUUUUCUUCAGUUUCGUUUUCAUUAGAGGAUUUGAAUUCGUUAGGGCAUUGCACUGUAUGUAGAUUAUUUCACUAGACUUGUUGUAUGUAACCUUUUAAUCAAUCAUGAUAAGUUCAAUACACCAUCUAAGAUUCAUUAAAUAAUGAUGUAUUGUAUAAAUAGAAGGCAUUGUAUUGAAUUGUCCUGUCUUGUAUUAAAUGGCUUAAAAUUUAGCACAAUGUACUAUGUUUUUUUUUCUUUUUUCAAAAGAAAAACAACGUUUAGAGAAAUAGAUGAAAUGAAAUGCCGUUUAUAGUGUUUCCUUUGGGCAGGAUAGGAAUAAAAUGUUUGGUGAGGAUAUUUUUGUCUCUUCAACUUAUUUGGGAGAAUGUGUGUGUGUGUAUUUAUAUAUUUAUAAAUGAGAUAGUGAAGAAUAGAUUUGGAAUUUGGUGUAAUGAACUUCAACAAAACUUAACAAGUAAUGAUGCAAAAAAAUAGAUAUGGAUGGUUUCAAUUUUCAACGACAUUAUUCUUUUUAUUUUGUCCAUCUCUUUUUUCUUAUUCUAUUGCAAAUAGAACUUCGGAUGGGUUGAAAGAUGGAUAAAUACUGUAAGAAGAAUAUUACAAUCUAAAAUCAUAUAACAGGCUAACAGUUAAUAGCAUCACCAAUUUUAUUUUAUAUAUAUUUUAAAAUCAGAAGCAUCAGUUUGAAAAGUUAAAUAAUUUGUAAGUUAUUUGCACCUUAGAAUAAAUUUUCAUUUUUCUUUCGUUGAAUUUCAGUAGAUGCUUUUUGGAUUAUAUUUUUUUAUGAAUAAUCAAAGUGGGGUGAAGCUUGCUUGUUUUUGGCAUGAAUGAAAUUUACUAAUAUUUUCAUACAUUAUUAUUUUUGGCUCCAAAAUUUUUCAAAUCAACUUGAUCAGGAAGUAGGAUUUUCUUAUAAGAGAAAGAGAGGAAAUAGGUGAAGGGACGAGAAAGAAAUAGUAAAAAGCGGUGGAGAUUGAUUCACUCUGAUUCCGAUUCUAACAGUUUAAGUAAACAACUUAUUCUGAUUCCUAUUUUUAAUUCUCAUUCCAGUCUAAUCCGAUUCCAGCUCAUUCCGAUUGCUGUUUAGUAAACGCACCAUUAAUGUGUUAAAACUGUAUUGUUCUUAUUAAAGUUAAGUGACAAUAACCCUCGGGUUAAGCGCUUUUGAUUUUCUUCUUUCUUUUUAGCUCAUUGUCUUCCCUAUGAUUGCUUAACAAAAGAUAAUAUUGAGUCAUUUUCACUUUCAUCAUCAGAAGCAGAAGUUGUUGCUUCCCAAUGAAUAUUGACUACUAGCGCAGGAACAACAUCUUCAGCUUAAACUCUCAAAUCCCUUGUUCGCAGACCGUGUUGGUGGCCUGGCCAGGAAAGGCUAUGUUGUUGGUCCGAGAAUAGGCUAGUCAUUCAAUUCACCUAAUUUUAAUUUUUAUUUGGAAUUGAGGUGUUAUAAUUUUUAAAAUGUAAACUAUAGCGGCUGUAGGUUUUAAAUUAUAGACGUUAUGGAAAAAAAAAUUAUAAUUAUGAAACAAAAGUUAAUAGUAUGUAGUAAAUAUAAUUUGUAAAUAAUAAUUUUGAUAAAAUUAUUAAAAAUAUAAUACAUUUUUUAUCAUACAAGUAAAAAAUCAUAUCAACAUAUUUUUCAGACUAUAGUAAUUAGUGUUUACCAAACACUUUAUUAUUGUUGUUUUUAAGAUACAGUUGUCUAACUUUAAUUUCAAACGAACCUUUAAUCAUCUAUUUAUCUUUGCCCUAAAGCUUAAAAAACAAGUAAAAUUAUUGUUCUUAAGUCACCAGUUUUGAAGGAGGAAAUUAUUUUAGUUGUGUUGUCGGGGACGGUAAUAAGGUGUGUGAAGCAUGCAUGCUCUCGUUUUCCGGACUAUUCAUACAUUUAACCUAGAAAUCCAAUUUAAUUUAUUCUCAUUCAGCAUUAAUUAGUUGCCAACUACAUAACAGCUUCAUUUAGAGUGAAACUAUUAGCAUCCUUUUAUUAUCCUUAUAAAACCCUACUUUAA